UUGAUCCCUGGCUCAGGAUGAACGCUGGCGGCGUGCUUAACACAUGCAAGUCGAACGAUGACCCGGUGCUUGCACCGGUGAUUAGUGGCGAACGGGUGAGUAACACGUGAGUAACCUGCCCUUAACUCUGGGAUAAGCCUGGGAAACUGGGUCUAAUACCGGAUAUGACUCCUCAUCGCAUGGUGGGGGGUGGAAAGCUUUAUUGUGGUUUUGGAUGGACUCGCGGCCUAUCAGCUUGUUGGUGAGGUAAUGGCUCACCAAGGCGACGACGGGUAGCCGGCCUGAGAGGGUGACCGGCCACACUGGGACUGAGACACGGCCCAGACUCCUACGGGAGGCAGCAGUGGGGAAUAUUGCACAAUGGGCGCAAGCCUGAUGCAGCGACGCCGCGUGAGGGAUGACGGCCUUCGGGUUGUAAACCUCUUUCAGUAGGGAAGAAGCGAAAGUGACGGUACCUGCAGAAGAAGCGCCGGCUAACUU
This 480-nucleotide ribosomal RNA is filed under the name Micrococcineae bacterium CL1.157. Its description in RNAcentral is "bacterial SSU rRNA". It matches the Rfam family "Bacterial small subunit ribosomal RNA", at positions 13 to 503 of the family's 1533-position model. Lineage: Bacteria; Bacillati; Actinomycetota; Actinomycetes; Micrococcales. The record is from RNAcentral.